This 253-nucleotide ribosomal RNA is filed under the name uncultured bacterium. RNAcentral's name for it is "partial 16S ribosomal RNA". It matches the Rfam family "Bacterial small subunit ribosomal RNA", at positions 524 to 776 of the family's 1533-position model. The record is from RNAcentral.
UACAGAGGUCCCAAGCGUUACUGAGAAUCACUGGGUUUAAAGGGUGCGUAGGUGGUCCGUUAAGUCAGUUGUGAAAUCCCCGGGCUCAACCCGGGAACUGCUUCUGAUACUGGCGGACUUGAGGCCGGUAGGGGUCACUGGAACUGACGGUGGAGCGGUGAAAUGCGUAGAUAUCGUCAGGAACGCCGGUGGUGAAGACGGGUGACUUGGCCGGUUCUGACACUGAGGCACGAAAGCGUGGGGAGCGAACGGG